CUUCCAAAUUUGAAAGUCUGCUCUUAGAGUCCGAUGUAAUUGUAGAGAUGCUCGAGGUGUUGGCUGCUGUUCUAAAGGACCCUUGGGAAACAGGACGUCAUAGAGGGUGAGAAUCCGUAUGUGACUGGAUACCUAUGCUCAUGUGAAGCUCUUUCGACGAGUCGAGUUGUUUGGGAAUGCAGCUCAAAAAUGGGAGGUAUAUUUCUUCUAAAGCUAAAUAUUGGCCAGAGACCGAUAGCGCACAAGUAGAGUGAUCGAAAGAUGAAAAGCACUUUGGAAAGAGAGUUAAACAGUACGUGAAAUUGUUGAAAGGGAAGCGCUUGCAAUCAGACUUGCACUUGGUGUUCAUCAGGGUCUCGUACCCUGUGUACUUCAUCAAGUUCAGGCCAGCAUCAGUUUGAGUGGUUAGAUAAAGGCUUAGAGAAUGUGGCCCUCUUCGGGGGGUGUUAUAGCUCUAGGUGCAAUGUAGCCUACUUGGACUGAGGACCGCGCUUCGGCUAGGAUGCUGGCGUAAUGGUUGUAAGCGACCCGUCUUGAAACACGGACCAAGGAGUGUACCUAAUAUGCGAGUGUUUGGGUGUUAAACCCAUACGCGUAAUGAAAGUGAACGCUGGUGAGAACCCUUAAGGGUGCAUCAUCGACCGAUCUUGAUGUCUUCGGAUGGAUUUGAGUAAGAGCAUAUUGGGUGCGACCCGAAAGAUGGUGAUCUAUACGUGAAUAGGGUGAAGCCAGAGGAAACUCUGGUGGAGGCUCGCAGCGGUUCUGACGUGCAAAUCGAUCGUCAAAUUUGCGUAUAGGGGCGAAAGACUAAUCGAACCAUUAAGGAAUAGACCAAGCUCUAGGUGGUUGAGAAACCCCAAUGGGGUAUUAGUCCUGGAGACAGGGCGACAUUGUCAAAUUGUUCGGGGACCACCUGUUAAAUUACAUACUACCGCAGCAGUGUCGAAAGACCUGUGAGCACUGGAGGUAACGCCUCUAGGGAUGGUAAUAACGUAUGUAUAGGGUAUAUCCGCAGCGAAGUUCUAAGGCCUCACGGCUACGAAUCGCGUUCACAGACUAGACGGCAAUGGGCUCCUAACGGGGCUUAAGAUAUAGUCGAACCCCUCAGAGAUGAGGAUGGAA
RNAcentral lists this non-coding RNA (1122 nucleotides) under Botrytis fabae. Its description in RNAcentral is "LSU rRNA". The stretch from base 1 to 849 matches the Rfam family "Eukaryotic large subunit ribosomal RNA", at positions 113 to 1888 of the family's 3401-position model. Lineage: Eukaryota; Fungi; Ascomycota; Leotiomycetes; Helotiales; Sclerotiniaceae. The record is from RNAcentral.